This 554-nucleotide ribosomal RNA is filed under the name uncultured bacterium. Its description in RNAcentral is "partial 16S ribosomal RNA". It matches the Rfam family "Bacterial small subunit ribosomal RNA", at positions 355 to 900 of the family's 1533-position model. The record is from RNAcentral.
UAGGGAAUCUUCCACAAUGGACGCAAGUCUGAUGGAGCAACGCCGCGUGAGUGAAGAAGGUUUUCGGACCGUAAAGCUCGUUGUUGGUGAAGAAGGAUAGAGGUAGUAACUGGCCUUUAUUUGACGGUAAUCAACCAGAAAGUCACGGCUAACUACGUGCCAGCAGCCGCGGUAAUACGUAGGUGGCAAGCGUUGUCCGGAUUUAUUGGGCGUAAAGCGAGCGCAGGCGGAAGAAUAAGUCUGAUGUGAAAGCCCUCGGCUUAACCGAGGAAUUGCAUCGGAAACUGUUUUUCUUGAGUGCAGAAGAGGAGGGUAGAACUCCAUGUGUAGCGGUGGAAUGCGUAGAUAUAUGGAAGAAUACCAGUGGCGAAGGCGGCUCUCUGGUCUGCAACUGACGCUGAGGCUCGAAAGCAUGGGUAGCGAACAGGAUUAGAUACCCUGGUAGUCCAUGCCGUAAACGAUGAGUGCUAAGUGUUGGGAGGCUUCCGCCUCUCAGUGCUGCAGCUAACGCAUUAAGCACUCCGCCUGGGGGAGUACGACCGCAAGGUUGAAAC